This 484-nucleotide ribosomal RNA is filed under the name uncultured bacterium. RNAcentral's name for it is "partial 16S ribosomal RNA". It matches the Rfam family "Bacterial small subunit ribosomal RNA", at positions 29 to 507 of the family's 1533-position model. The record is from RNAcentral.
AUCGAACGCUGGCGGCAGGCCUAACACAUGCAAGUCGAGCGGAAGCAGCGAGCUUGCUCCUGGAUUCAGCGGCGGACGGGUGAAAAAUGCCUAGGAAUCUGCCUGAUCGCGGCGGAAAACGUCCGAAAACGGGCGCUAAUACCGCAACCGACCAGAGGGCGCCAGUGGGGGGGCCUCGGACCUCACGCCAACAUGUGAGCCUAGAACGGAAUAGCUAGUUGGUAGGGUAAAGGCCUACCAAGGCGACAAUCCGUAACUGGUCUGAGCGGAUGACCGGUGACACUGGGACGGAGCCAGCCUCCAGACGAAUACAGGAGGCAGCAGUGGGCAAUAGUGGACAAAGGGCGAAAGCCUUAUCCAGCCAUGCCGGGUGUGUGAAGAAGGUCUUGGGAUUGUAAAAAACUUUAAGUUGGGAGGAAGGGCAGUAAGUUAAUACCUUGCUGUAUUGACGUUACCAACAGAAUAAGCACCGGCUAACUUCGUG